RNAcentral lists this signal recognition particle RNA (96 nucleotides) under Wolbachia sp. Its description in RNAcentral is "signal recognition particle sRNA small type". It matches the Rfam family "Bacterial small signal recognition particle RNA". Rfam says of the family: The signal recognition particle (SRP) is a universally conserved ribonucleoprotein involved in the co-translational targeting of proteins to membranes. Archaeal SRP consists of a 7S RNA and homologues of the eukaryotic SRP19 and SRP54 proteins. The record is from RNAcentral. Lineage: Bacteria; Pseudomonadati; Pseudomonadota; Alphaproteobacteria; Rickettsiales; Anaplasmataceae. RNAcentral also lists the same sequence under 1 other name.
UAUAAGGUAUACAGACAAAAAUUCUGUAACUUGGUCAGAUCAGAAAUGAAGCAGCCAUAUCAGAGCCUUUUUGGGUUGUAUGCCUACUUUCAUUAU